This 1188-nucleotide long non-coding RNA is filed under the name Elaeis guineensis (African oil palm). Its description in RNAcentral is "long non-coding RNA (EGUI_LNC069323)". The record is from RNAcentral. Lineage: Eukaryota; Viridiplantae; Streptophyta; Magnoliopsida; Arecales; Arecaceae.
CAUCGGGUACCCAAGAAAGAUCUUCGGCAUCAACGGAUCCAUACACAUCUACUCGCUCUCCGUCUUUCUUCUAAACUAAACAAUUUCUCUUUUCUUUAGCCUCUGAGUCUUCAACAGGUUCCGGUGGACUCUUUUUCAAUUCGGCUUGGACCCUUUGGUCCUCAAGGUCCGGGACGGGUCGGCGGAACUUUCACUCACGUUAGUGAAAGGUCGAACCUGAGGUGGUUCUGGGGCCAUAGAUAUGACUAGAAAGUGCCAGUUGAAGUUCCCCUCCAGGAAGCAGGGUAAAGGGCUAGGGCAGACACAAGUUAAGAGCGAGGGGAAAGGAUAAAGGGUGCGUAGUUCUUACCCGCUUUAUCUGGUAGGUAUAGUAGGGUUAACUAGAGAUCUUUUCCUGGGAGUUUGUUUACACCUCUUCUAUUUGAAAUUCCAUUUGUAAGCUAAGCUUAUUCGAGUUCUAAGCAUAACAUAUCUCUUACUUGAAAAUAUGUAGUGAAAAUGUACUAACCGUGGCUAUCCUGCUUAAUCUUGAGGUUGUGUUAGUGAGCUGGUUUAUGCAUAACGAAAACCUAACCUUUACCUAAGAAAGAAUGGAAUUGUUAAGAUUUACCUAAUAGUAAUAGGGGCUAGGGGCUGUUCUCGCGAUUGAUUGAAGUAUGCUUGCUUCUCUGCUAAAUGAGAAUGUGGGUGGAUUCGAAGACCUCCUUUUCAGAAGUGAGAGAAGGGACUCCACCAUCAUGAAUCCCCUUCUAGUGGAAGCGAGUGCAGGUACUGAGUAGGUCGGACUCUCUCUUCUUUCUCGUUUCGGGUAUGCUUACGAGCGAGGAUAUCUUGGAAAGUAUAACUCGGGACCAUCUGACCGGACUACCAAGCUUGACUAUCAAGCCGUUAUCUUUCAUUUAGUCAAUACCAGUGCCUGCUACGCUUAGCUUACUCAUUGAAGGAGUGGUGCUUGAAUAAAGGGAAUCCAAUAUUGAAUACAGUGCAGCAACGAAUUAUCAUUGUUAUUGUUUAUUUGCUUUGUUCCAUUCUUUGACUGCUCUGCUCCCCCCAAAAAUGAAGAAAGACUUGUCGGAAAUAAAAUCACCGGUUGGCGUAGGGCUUUAUUGAAUAUUUAAUAUGUGCUUUGUUAUAGGAAAUAUAGGAAUUCCCCCGUACUAAGUAGGGUGCUGUUCUGUUCCCUNNNNN